ACUCUGGAACCAUCGGCGCUGACUGAAAGUGAAGCAGCAGCUGCAUUGUGGGAAAGCUGGCUGGAGUCUCUCUGAUAAGCAGGCAUUCUUUUUUUCCAGCCCUUCACUGUGUUGGUUCUGCCCACAUUUGUGGCACAUUCUAGGCACUCGCCAUCAUCAAAUAAACCUCUGGAGCUGUGAUAUUACAAACGUGGAAAGAUGAUGUACUCUCAACAAGUUUCAAUGAAGCAAAGAGACACGGAGCAAUCCAACGUGUAAUAAAAAAAGGCAGCCUGGAUUGUUGUUGCUGUUUUUGAAAUUUAAGCUGGUUUUCAAUUAAAUUCAGUAAAUGGUCCAGGACU
This is a long non-coding RNA of Mandrillus leucophaeus (drill), 341 nucleotides long. RefSeq lists it as uncharacterized. The record is from RefSeq and is a predicted model, not a curated record. NCBI's taxonomy places the organism in Eukaryota, Metazoa, Chordata, Mammalia, Primates, Cercopithecidae. The transcript has 3 exons.